This 1017-nucleotide ribosomal RNA is filed under the name bacterium. Its description in RNAcentral is "bacterial SSU rRNA". It matches the Rfam family "Bacterial small subunit ribosomal RNA", at positions 114 to 1136 of the family's 1533-position model. The record is from RNAcentral.
CUCUUGGUCUUUCUGUCCUGCACUCUGGGACUUUUUUGGAAACGGGGUUUAAUUCCGUUUUCUGAUCUUUUUAUGCAUUUUGGUUGAUCUAAAGCUCCGGCGGUGCAGGAUGAGCCCGCGGUCUAUCUUUUUUUUGGUGAGGUAUGGCUCACCAAGGCGACGACGGGUAGCCGGCCUGAGAGGGCGACCGGCCACACUGGGACUGAGACACGGCCCAUACUCCUACGGGAGGCAGCAGUGGGGAAUAUUGCACAAUGGGCGAAAGCCUGAUGCAGCGACGCCGUGUGAGGGAUGACGGCCUUCGGUUUGUAAACCUUCUUUCAGCAGGGAAGAAGCUAUUGUGACGGUACCUGCAGAAGAAGCUCCGGCUAACUACGUGCCACCAGCCGCGGUAAUACGUAGGGCGCGAGCGUUGUCCGGAAUUAUUGGGCGUAAAGAGCUCGUAGGCGGCUUGUCACGUCGGCUGAGAAAGCCCGGGGCUUUAACCCCGGGUCUGCAUUCGAUACGGGCAGGCUAGAGUUCGGUAGGGGAGAUCGGGAAUUUCCUGGUGUAGCGUGUGAAAUGCGCAGAUAUCCAAGAGGAACCACCGGUGGCAAAGGCGGAUAUAUGGGCCGAUACUGACGCUGAGGAACGAAAGCGUGGGGAGCGAACAGGAUUUAGAUACUCCUGGUAGUACACGCUCGUAAAAGGUGGGCACUUAGUGUGAGGCGACAUUCCAAGUCGUCCGUGCCGCAGCUAACGCAUAAAGUGCCCCGCCUGGGGAGUACGACCGCAAGGCUAAAACUCAAAGGAAUUAACAGGGGCCCGCACAAACGGCGAAGCAUGUGGAUUAAUACAACGCAAAACGAAGAACCUUACCAAGGCUUAAAAAACACCGGAAAAAUCAAAAAAUGGUGCCCCCCUUGGGGUCGGUGUACAGGUGGUGCAUGACAGUAGUAAACUCGUGUAGUUAAAUGUUGGGUUAAGUCCCAAAACAAACACAAACCUAGACCCAUGUAACCAACAGGACAUUGUGGU